CACCGCCUGGGGAGUACGACCGCAAGGUUAAAACUCAAAUGAAUUGACGGGGACCCGCACAAGUAGUGGAGCAUGUGGUUUAAUUCGAAGAUACGCGCAGAACCUUACCAACACUUGACAUGUUCGUCGCGACUUUAAGAGAUUAAAGUUUUCGGUUCGGCCGGACGAAACACAGGUGCUGCAUGGCUGUCGUCAGCUCGUGUCGUGAGAUGUUGGGUUAAGUCCCGCAACGAGCGCAACCCUCACUUUUAGUUGCCAUCAUUAAGUUGGGCACUCUGAAAGAACUGCCAGUGAUAAGCUGGAGGAAGGUGGGGAUGACGUCAAGUCCUCAUGGCCCUUACGUGUUGGGCUACACACGUGCUACAAUGGUAUCCACAACAGGAAGCAAAACCGCGAGGUUAAGCAAAUCCUAAAAAGAUACCUCAGUUCGGAUUGCACUCUGCAACUCGAGUGCAUGAAGCUGGAAUUACUAGUAAUCGUGGAUCAGCGUGCCACGGUGAAUGCGUUCCCGGGUCUUGUACACACCGCCCGUCACACCAUGGGAGUUGGUUCUACCUUAAGGCAAGGUUUCAAACCCUUGACCACGGUAUAGUCAGCGACUGGGGUGAAGUCGUAACAAGGUAGCCGUAGGGGAACCUGCGGCUGGAUUACCUCCUUUCUAAGGAUGAGUGAAAGUAAAAUUUCAUUCUAAAUAAUAUACAGGCUAAUGUUGACCGUCCUCAUUUCUCUUCUUGAAUUAGUGUUUCUCUUGCAUGGGGGCCGGUAGCUCAGUUGGUUAGAGCACACCCUUGAUAAGGGUGGGGUCGAAAGUUCGAGUCUUUCUCGGCCAAAACAAAAUAAGAUCAUGGGGGAUUAGCUCAGCUGGGAGAGCGCCUGAUUUGCAUUCAGGAGGUCAGCGGUUCGAUCCCGCUAUCCUCCACCAAACACUUAGUUAUAAAAAAUUGUGAAUAAAUAAUAAUUAAUAUCAAUAUCUAUAUCCGAACAUUAGAAAUGUUAUUAGCUAAUGUUCAAAAUAAAAAUUUGAUUCAACACAGAAUUUUUUUCUG
This 1046-nucleotide small RNA is filed under the name uncultured Pelagibacterales bacterium. RNAcentral's name for it is "bacterial SSU rRNA". The stretch from base 1 to 658 matches the Rfam family "Bacterial small subunit ribosomal RNA", at positions 867 to 1533 of the family's 1533-position model. Lineage: Bacteria; Pseudomonadati; Pseudomonadota; Alphaproteobacteria; Candidatus Pelagibacterales. The record is from RNAcentral.